Molecule: ribosomal RNA, 2904 nt
Filed under: Escherichia coli
Lineage: Bacteria; Pseudomonadati; Pseudomonadota; Gammaproteobacteria; Enterobacterales; Enterobacteriaceae
Description: bacterial LSU rRNA
Rfam family: Bacterial large subunit ribosomal RNA
Source: RNAcentral
UUAAGCGACUAAGCGUACACGGUGGAUGCCCUGGCAGUCAGAGGCGAUGAAGGACGUGCUAAUCUGCGAUAAGCGUCGGUAAGGUGAUAUGAACCGUUAUAACCGGCGAUUUCCGAAUGGGGAAACCCAGUGUGUUUCGACACACUAUCAUUAACUGAAUCCAUAGGUUAAUGAGGCGAACCGGGGGAACUGAAACAUCUAAGUACCCCGAGGAAAAGAAAUCAACCGAGAUUCCCCCAGUAGCGGCGAGCGAACGGGGAGCAGCCCAGAGCCUGAAUCAGUGUGUGUGUUAGUGGAAGCGUCUGGAAAGACGCGCGAUACAGGGUGACAGCCCCGUACACAAAAAUGCACAUGCUGUGAGCUCGAUGAGUAGGGCGGGACACGUGGUAUCCUGUCUGAAUAUGGGGGGACCAUCCUCCAAGGCUAAAUACUCCUGACUGACCGAUAGUGAACCAGUACCGUGAGGGAAAGGCGAAAAGAACCCCGGCGAGGGGAGUGAAAAAGAACCUGAAACCGUGUACGUACAAGCAGUGGGAGCACGCUUAGGCGUGUGACUGCGUACCUUUUGUAUAAUGGGUCAGCGACUUAUAUUCUGUAGCAAGGUUAACCGAAUAGGGGAGCCGAAGGGAAACCGAGUCUUAACUGGGCGUUAAGUUGCAGGGUAUAGACCCGAAACCCGGUGAUCUAGCCAUGGGCAGGUUGAAGGUUGGGUAACACUAACUGGAGGACCGAACCGACUAAUGUUGAAAAAUUAGCGGAUGACUUGUGGCUGGGGGUGAAAGGCCAAUCAAACCGGGAGAUAGCUGGUUCUCCCCGAAAGCUAUUUAGGUAGCGCCUCGUGAAUUCAUCUCCGGGGGUAGAGCACUGUUUCGGCAAGGGGGUCAUCCCGACUUACCAACCCGAUGCAAACUGCGAAUACCGGAGAAUGUUAUCACGGGAGACACACGGCGGGUGCUAACGUCCGUCGUGAAGAGGGAAACAACCCAGACCGCCAGCUAAGGUCCCAAAGUCAUGGUUAAGUGGGAAACGAUGUGGGAAGGCCCAGACAGCCAGGAUGUUGGCUUAGAAGCAGCCAUCAUUUAAAGAAAGCGUAAUAGCUCACUGGUCGAGUCGGCCUGCGCGGAAGAUGUAACGGGGCUAAACCAUGCACCGAAGCUGCGGCAGCGACGCUGAUGCGUUGUUGGGUAGGGGAGCGUUCUGUAAGCCUGCGAAGGUGUGCUGUGAGGCAUGCUGGAGGUAUCAGAAGUGCGAAUGCUGACAUAAGUAACGAUAAAGCGGGUGAAAAGCCCGCUCGCCGGAAGACCAAGGGUUCCUGUCCAACGUUAAUCGGGGCAGGGUGAGUCGACCCCUAAGGCGAGGCCGAAAGGCGUAGUCGAUGGGAAACAGGUUAAUAUUCCUGUACUUGGUGUUACUGCGAAGGGGGGACGGAGAAGGCUAUGUUGGCCGGGCGACGGUUGUCCCGGUUUAAGCGUGUAGGCUGGUUUUCCAGGCAAAUCCGGAAAAUCAAGGCUGAGGCGUGAUGACGAGGCACUACGGUGCUGAAGCAACAAAUGCCCUGCUUCCAGGAAAAGCCUCUAAGCAUCAGGUAACAUCAAAUCGUACCCCAAACCGACACAGGUGGUCAGGUAGAGAAUACCAAGGCGCUUGAGAGAACUCGGGUGAAGGAACUAGGCAAAAUGGUGCCGUAACUUCGGGAGAAGGCACGCUGAUAUGUAGGUGAAGUCCCUCGCGGAUGGAGCUGAAAUCAGUCGAAGAUACCAGCUGGCUGCAACUGUUUAUUAAAAACACAGCACUGUGCAAACACGAAAGUGGACGUAUACGGUGUGACGCCUGCCCGGUGCCGGAAGGUUAAUUGAUGGGGUUAGCCGCAAGGCGAAGCUCUUGAUCGAAGCCCCGGUAAACGGCGGCCGUAACUAUAACGGUCCUAAGGUAGCGAAAUUCCUUGUCGGGUAAGUUCCGACCUGCACGAAUGGCGUAAUGAUGGCCAGGCUGUCUCCACCCGAGACUCAGUGAAAUUGAACUCGCUGUGAAGAUGCAGUGUACCCGCGGCAAGACGGAAAGACCCCGUGAACCUUUACUAUAGCUUGACACUGAACAUUGAGCCUUGAUGUGUAGGAUAGGUGGGAGGCUUUGAAGUGUGGACGCCAGUCUGCAUGGAGCCGACCUUGAAAUACCACCCUUUAAUGUUUGAUGUUCUAACGUUGACCCGUAAUCCGGGUUGCGGACAGUGUCUGGUGGGUAGUUUGACUGGGGCGGUCUCCUCCUAAAGAGUAACGGAGGAGCACGAAGGUUGGCUAAUCCUGGUCGGACAUCAGGAGGUUAGUGCAAUGGCAUAAGCCAGCUUGACUGCGAGCGUGACGGCGCGAGCAGGUGCGAAAGCAGGUCAUAGUGAUCCGGUGGUUCUGAAUGGAAGGGCCAUCGCUCAACGGAUAAAAGGUACUCCGGGGAUAACAGGCUGAUACCGCCCAAGAGUUCAUAUCGACGGCGGUGUUUGGCACCUCGAUGUCGGCUCAUCACAUCCUGGGGCUGAAGUAGGUCCCAAGGGUAUGGCUGUUCGCCAUUUAAAGUGGUACGCGAGCUGGGUUUAGAACGUCGUGAGACAGUUCGGUCCCUAUCUGCCGUGGGCGCUGGAGAACUGAGGGGGGCUGCUCCUAGUACGAGAGGACCGGAGUGGACGCAUCACUGGUGUUCGGGUUGUCAUGCCAAUGGCACUGCCCGGUAGCUAAAUGCGGAAGAGAUAAGUGCUGAAAGCAUCUAAGCACGAAACUUGCCCCGAGAUGAGUUCUCCCUGACUCCUUGAGAGUCCUGAAGGAACGUUGAAGACGACGACGUUGAUAGGCCGGGUGUGUAAGCGCAGCGAUGCGUUGAGCUAACCGGUACUAAUGAACCGUGAGGCUUAACCUU